GAGGGUAUAGCUCAAGUGGAAGAGCACAUGCUUAGCAUGCAUGAGGUCCCGGGUUCAAUCCUGGUACCUCCU
This 72-nucleotide transfer RNA is filed under the name Camelus bactrianus (Bactrian camel). It matches the Rfam family "tRNA". From Rfam's summary of the family: Transfer RNA (tRNA) molecules are approximately 80 nucleotides in length. Their secondary structure includes four short double-helical elements and three loops (D, anti-codon, and T loops). Further hydrogen bonds mediate the characteristic L-shaped molecular structure. tRNAs have two regions of fundamental functional importance: the anti-codon, which is responsible for specific mRNA codon recognition, and the 3' end, to which the tRNAs corresponding amino acid is attached (by aminoacyl-tRNA synthetases). tRNAs cope with the degeneracy of the genetic code in two manners: having more than one tRNA (with a specific anti-codon) for a particular amino acid; and 'wobble' base-pairing, i.e. permitting non-standard base-pairing at the 3rd anti-codon position. The record is from Rfam by way of RNAcentral. Lineage: Eukaryota; Metazoa; Chordata; Mammalia; Artiodactyla; Camelidae. RNAcentral also lists the same sequence under 1 other name.